UACGUAGGGGGCAAGCGUUGUCCGGAAUCAUUGGGCGUAAAGCGCGCGUAGGCGGCCCGGUAAGUCCGCUCUGAAAGUCCAGGGCUCAACCCUGGAAAGCGGGUGGAUACUGCCGGGCUAGAAUCCGGAAGAGGCGAGUGGAAUUCCUGGUGUAGCGGUGGAAUGCGCAGAUAUCAGGAGGAACACCGGUGGCGAAGGCGGAUCUCUGGGCCUUACCUGACGCUGAGGCGCGAAAGCUAGGGGAGCGAACAGG
RNAcentral lists this ribosomal RNA (253 nucleotides) under uncultured bacterium. Its description in RNAcentral is "partial 16S ribosomal RNA". It matches the Rfam family "Bacterial small subunit ribosomal RNA", at positions 524 to 776 of the family's 1533-position model. The record is from RNAcentral.